GAAUUUUGGACAAUGGGCGAAAGCCUGAUCCAGCAAUGCCGCGUGCAGGAUGAAGGCCUUCGGGUUGUAAACUGCUUUUGUACGGAACGAAAAGCUUUGGGUUAAUACCCUGGCGUCAUGACGGUACCUUAAGACUACGAACCGGCUACUUACGUUCCAACAGCCGCGGGAAUACGGAGGGUGCAAGCGUUAAUCGGCAUUACUGGGCGUAAAGAGUGCGCAGGCGGUGUUGUAAGACAGAGGUGAAAUCCCCGGGCUCAACCUGGGAACUGCCUUUGUGACUGCAAGGCUAGAGUACGGCAGAGGGGGGUGGAAUUCCUCGUGUACCAGUGAAAUGCGUAGAUAUGCGGAGGAACACCGAUGGCGAAGGCAACCCCCUGGGCCUGUACUGACGCUCAUGCACGAAAGCGUGGGGAGCAAACA
RNAcentral lists this ribosomal RNA (423 nucleotides) under uncultured bacterium. RNAcentral's name for it is "partial 16S ribosomal RNA". It matches the Rfam family "Bacterial small subunit ribosomal RNA", at positions 359 to 774 of the family's 1533-position model. The record is from RNAcentral.